This 564-nucleotide ribosomal RNA is filed under the name Triticum aestivum (bread wheat). Its description in RNAcentral is "partial small subunit ribosomal RNA". The record is from RNAcentral. Lineage: Eukaryota; Viridiplantae; Streptophyta; Magnoliopsida; Poales; Poaceae.
AUGCUCUACAAAAUCCACUCCCAUGCCGAAAUCCAAGCCCUGCAGGCCCGCACCGAUGAGCUGGGCCACUCCAAUGAGCACAUGGAUGUGAAGCUUGUCUCUCUGGAGUCGGUGCGCAUAGCGCGCGAGUCGUAUGCACUCCUCCGCCCGCUGAUCAUGGAGUCGAGGUCCUGGGAAUGCCCGGAGCUGGAUUCCCUCUCGGACGUGGCAGGCUUGUCGCUGGAAAUCCAAAAGCUCGAGCAUGAUGUGUUACCCCAGCUCACGGUUCAGGAGGCUAAGCUGGAACGGGGUGCCCUGGAAGCCCUCCUACUCAUGAAGAGCUCAGCAGCUAAGCUCUUACCUAUGAGUAAGUGCUUGAAGGAAGCCUUGGGCGUAGUGCUUGCCGAGGAUGUCAAAAUGCUGAGCAUAGUGCUAAGCGAUACUGCUGUUCAUGUACUCAAAGGUAAGUUCAACAGUGGCUUGCUUCAGGAGCGUGUCCCGUGGCUGGUCGAGCUGGUCACCGAUGUGUUGGAGACCCCGGUUCGUUUCUGUGAUACUCGUAAGCGUAAGUAUUCUGAUGAGUAG